ACGCUGGCGGCGUGCCUAAUACAUGCAAGUAGAACGCUGAAGGAGGAGCUUGCUUCUCUGGAUGAGUUGCGAACGGGUGAGUAACGCGUAGGUAACCUGCCUGGUAGCGGGGGAUAACUAUUGGAAACGAUAGCUAAUACCGCAUAAUAUUGAUUAUUGCAUGAUAGUCAAUUAAAAGGUGCAAUUGCAUCACUACCAGAUGGACCUGCGUUGUAUUAGCUAGUUGGUGAGGUAACGGCUCACCAAGGCAACGAUACAUAGCCGACCUGAGAGGGUGAUCGGCCACACUGGGACUGAGACACGGCCCAGACUCCUACUGGAGGCAGCAGUAGGGAAUCUUCGGCAAUGGACGGAAGUCUGACCGAGCAACGCCGCGUGAGUGAAGAAGGUUUUCGGAUCGUAAAGCUCUGUUGUAAGAGAAGAACGAGUGUGAGAGUGGAAAGUUCACACUGUGACGGUAUCUUACCAGAAAGGGACGGCUAACUACGUGCCAGCAGCCGCGGUAAUACGUAGGUCCCGAGCGUUGUCCGGAUUUAUUGGGCGUAAAGCGAGCGCAGGCGGUUAGAUAAGUCUGAAGUUAAAGGCUGUGGCUUAACCAUAGUACGCUUUGGAAACUGUUUAACUUGAGUGCAAGAGGGGAGAGUGGAAUUCCAUGUGUAGCGGUGAAAUGCGUAGAUAUAUGGAGGAACAC
Molecule: ribosomal RNA, 691 nt
Filed under: uncultured Streptococcus sp.
Lineage: Bacteria; Bacillati; Bacillota; Bacilli; Lactobacillales; Streptococcaceae
Description: bacterial SSU rRNA
Rfam family: Bacterial small subunit ribosomal RNA
Source: RNAcentral